GGACAAUGAGUUGAGCUUUUGAAAAAUCAGGAUUGCACCAGAAAUGCCCCUCUUUUGGAGGUGCCAGGAGAAAUAGGGUAAGUUCUGAAAUCUGCUGAACUAUAAAUCAGAAUCUUUAUGUUGAGCAAAGGUAUUUUGUCCUGAUGAAGCAAAAGGAGGAAACAAUUCUGAAGGAAAUACCAUAAUCACGAUGAUAACGAGAGAAUGCUAGUUGUAGCCAAACAGAAAAACACUAUAGAAUAGUAAACAUUUUUUUCUCCAGAAUCAAGCAGAGCUAUACUAAGGCAAGAUUGAGAGAGUUAGUUCUAUUGAAGUGGAGCAGCUGGAAAAUAUCUCAACUGAACCUGCUCUGUCGUGAGCUCCAGGAGACAGAAAAACAAGAGGACCAUGAGUACAUCAGAAGACAAGAAAGUCUCCUGCUUUCCGGUUUCUUACUGUAGUCAGUUUACUUCUAAGAAGAGGGUGGUGCAUUCAAAAGGAGCUUAGAAACACAAACUCCUCAUUCUGAUCAAGGACAGAAAAUCACGUAAGGAGAGUCAGAAGAGUCAUGAAACUCCAGCAACCCAGAAGUACAGUACUUAUAGCAGUGUUUCCCAAUAUUCUUCUGAUGGAGCUCCCCUUUCUAAUGAGCUGGCAGAUAGACACGCACACCUGCUUCCACCUAUGUCUAUUCAUGUCUUAUUUGGAACACUUUCCACUUUCUUUGAGUCCAUUUACUCUCAUUCUCAAGUGCCUUGGUCCUUUCUCUUCUAUAAUUUUUUCCUUUGCCAAUUCUAACUAUUCCUCAGUUUUGCUCCCCCGUUUUGUAGUUCCCCCUUCCUGUUCCCCAUUCAGCAGGAAGCUAUAUGCUGCUUAGAAUGGAGGCAUCUGUUGGUGGUUCCACAUGUCCAGGUUAGUUAUGCUCUUGCUAUUUAGUGGAUUAUCACAGGAGCAGUGAAAAGUGAGGUCUGAACCACCUGUUGCUGUCUGUACCAAAAGCCCUGUAGCUAGCAUCAUUAUGAACCACAGUGGAAACAGGGAAGGAAGGCAGGUUGCUUUCAAGAAGCACUCCAGCUUCACUUUCAGCCUCAAGAGAACAUUAAUUAUGGCAAGGGAAUAGUACAUUCUAGAGCAGAGGUGGGUAAACUACGGCCCACAGGCCACGUCCGGCCCAAGGGACUGUCC
Chrysemys picta bellii (western painted turtle) is the source of this 1164-nucleotide long non-coding RNA. RefSeq lists it as uncharacterized. The record is from RefSeq and is a predicted model, not a curated record. NCBI's taxonomy places the organism in Eukaryota, Metazoa, Chordata, Testudines, Emydidae.